AUUGAACGCUGGCGGCAGGCCUAACACAUGCAAGUCGAGCGGAUGAAGGGAGCUUGCUCCUGGAUUCAGCGGCGGACGGGUGAGUAAUGCCUAGGAAUCUGCCUGGUAGUGGGGGAUAACGUCCGGACACGGGCGCUAAUACCGCAUACGUCCUGAGGGAGAAAGUGGGGGAUCUUCGGACCUCACGCUAUCAGAUGAGCCUAGGUCGGAUUAGCUAGUUGGUGGGGUAAAGGCCUACCAAGGCGACGAUCCGUAACUGGUCUGAGAGGAUGAUCAGUCACACUGGAACUGAGACACGGUCCAGACUCCUACGGGAGGCAGCAGUGGGGAAUAUUGGACAAUGGGCGAAAGCCUGAUCCAGCCAUGCCGCGUGUGUGAAGAAGGUCUUCGGAUUGUAAAGCACUUUAAGUUGGGAGGAAGAGCAGUAAGUUAAUACCUUGCUGUUUUGACGUUACCAAAAGAAUAAGCACCGGCUAACUUCGUG
RNAcentral lists this ribosomal RNA (484 nucleotides) under uncultured bacterium. Its description in RNAcentral is "partial 16S ribosomal RNA". It matches the Rfam family "Bacterial small subunit ribosomal RNA", at positions 30 to 507 of the family's 1533-position model. The record is from RNAcentral.